Long non-coding RNA from Manduca sexta (tobacco hornworm), 486 nucleotides. RefSeq lists it as uncharacterized. NCBI's taxonomy places the organism in Eukaryota, Metazoa, Arthropoda, Insecta, Lepidoptera, Sphingidae. The record is from RefSeq and is a predicted model, not a curated record. The transcript is spliced from 2 exons.
CAUCUCUAAUACUUGACAAUUCACGGAACACAGUUGUGGGUUGAAGGAAGGUUGUAAUUUGUAGGUAUGGACUUUAACUUGAAAUCGUAUGUAAUUAACAUUGUUUUGUAAUAUUUUAUUGAACCUCGGACGUAUGUGUUGUUGAACCGUGAUAAUAAAUUUAAUUCUAUUAACAUACUAAGAGUUACUAAGUCUGAAUGCUUACAAAUUAUUAAGGAAGCAACAUUUAUAUUUUACAUAACUUAGAAAGUUUCUUGAAUUGUUACAAUAUUUAAAAUGCCCGAAAAACAGUAAAAAGUAGGAAAUCCCGGACCUUCGGCUGUCGGAAAAUUAUAUCUUAUUGCCUACAACACAAUACAGACUUUUGGAUGGACUUAUAUGCUGAUACAGUCUGUUAUACACUUUUUGAAUCGUGGAACUUUGGAUAACUUUUGGCCAGAAAUAAAAUGGACUGUCAUUAUAUUUCAGAAUGCUGCAGUACUUGAG